UAGGCGGUUGUAAGUCAGUGUGAAAGUUUCGGCUCAACCGGAAAAUUGCCAUUGAUACUGCAAGUCUGAAUCGUUGUGAAGUGGUUAGAAUGUGUAGUGUAGCGGUGAAAUGCAUAGAUAUUACAACAGAAUACCGAUUGCGAAGGCAGAUCACUAACAAUGUAUUGACGCUAAGGGACGAAAGCGUGGGUAGCGAACAGGAUUAGAUACCCUGGUAGUUCCCCGCCGUAAACGAUGGUUACUAGCUGUUCGGAUUUCGGUCUGAGGUGGCUAAGCGAAAAGUGAUAAAGUAACCCACCUGGGGAGUACGUUCGCAAAGAAUGAAACUCAAAGGAAUUGACGGGGGCCCGCACAAGCGGUGGAGCAUGUGGUUUAAUUCGAUGAUACGCGAGGAACCUUACCAGGGCUUAAAUGUAGAUUGACAGGUUUAGAGAUAGACUUUUCUUCGGACAAUUUACAAGGUGCUGCAUGGUUGUCGUCAGCUCGUGCCGUGAGGUGUCAGGUUAAGUCCUAUAACGAGCGCAACCCCUGUUGUUAGUUGCCAGCAUGUAAAGAUGGGAACUCUAGCAAGACUGCCGGUGCAAACCGCGAGGAAGGUGGGGAUGACGUCAAAUCAUCACGGCCCUUACGUCCUGGGCCACACACGUGCUACAAUGGUAGGUACAGAGAGCAGCCACUUGGUGACAAGGAGCGAAUCUAUAAAGCCUA
This 708-nucleotide ribosomal RNA is filed under the name bacterium. Its description in RNAcentral is "bacterial SSU rRNA". It matches the Rfam family "Bacterial small subunit ribosomal RNA", at positions 572 to 1285 of the family's 1533-position model. The record is from RNAcentral.